This 460-nucleotide ribosomal RNA is filed under the name uncultured bacterium. Its description in RNAcentral is "partial 16S ribosomal RNA". It matches the Rfam family "Bacterial small subunit ribosomal RNA", at positions 338 to 795 of the family's 1533-position model. The record is from RNAcentral.
CCUACGGGGGGCAGCAGUGAGGAAUAUUGGUCAAUGGCCGGGAGGCUGAACCAGCCAAGUCGCGUGAGGGAAGACGGCCCUACGGGUUGUAAACCUCUUUUGUCAGGGAGCAAGGUGCAGGUCGGGACCUGCUGUGAGAGUACCUGAAGAAAAAGCAUCGGCUAACUCCGUGCCAGCAGCCGCGGUAAUACGGAGGAUGCGAGCGUUAUCCGGAUUUAUUGGGAUUAAGGGGUGCGUAGGCGGUUCGAUAAGGUAGAGGGGAAAUCGCGGGGUCAAACUCCGGCACUGCCUCUGAUACUGUCGGGCUAGAGGUUAGUGGCGGUAGGCGGAAUGUAUGGUGUAGCGGUGAAAUGCAUAGAGAUCAUACAGAACACCGAUUGCGAAGGCAGCUUACCAAACUACGACUGACGUUGAGGCACGAAAGCGUGGGGAGCAAACAGGAUUAGAUACCCCGGUAGUC